Molecule: ribosomal RNA, 693 nt
Filed under: Steinernema sp. eKSN9.1_TH
Lineage: Eukaryota; Metazoa; Nematoda; Chromadorea; Rhabditida; Steinernematidae
Also listed under: 1 other name
Description: partial large subunit ribosomal RNA
Rfam family: Eukaryotic large subunit ribosomal RNA
Source: RNAcentral
GAAGCGUUCAUGUGCGGUUUGUUGAUGGUGCGAAUUCUCUUUGACUAGGGAUCCAAAGAGGGUGCUAGACCCUUACGCAUUGUUGACUUUUCGUACGCGUUCGUUUCUUGGAGUAGGGUUGUUUUGGAUCGCAGCCCAAAGUAGGUGGUAUACUUCAUCUAAAGCUAAAUACGACUACGAAUCCGAUAGCAAACAAGUACCGUGAGGGAAAGUUGCAAAGUACUUUGAAGAGAGAGUUCAAGAGGACGUGAAACCGGUAGGAUGGAAGCAGAUAAAGUUGACGAACGUGUGUCGUAUUCAGAACUACAAUUUGUGGUUUGUUUUUACGAUCGAUGUGGGCUGGCGUCUUUGGUUAACUUAGUGUCUGGCGGCAAUGGUGACCCUGCGGAGGGAUAAUCGGUUGUCGUGCGAUGCUUGGUAUGGCUAGAGGUUCGCUGGUCUUAUAGUCAUCGCUUUAUCUGACCCGUCUUGAAACACGGACCAAGGAGUGUAGCGCUUACGCGAGUCUUAGAGUGUGUCAAAACUUUGAGGCGUAACGAAAGUAAAUGUGGAUUUAUUCACUGACUUGGGAUGCGUUGUCUUUUUUGGAUAGCGUUGGACCAUGGUUUUAUCGUAAUCGCUUGCGAUGCGGUGAAAAUAGAGCGUAAGCGGUGCGACCCGAAAGAUGGUGAACUAUGCCUGAGCAGGAUGAAG